AGAGUUUCCGCUUCCGGGUUUUUAUUAAAUUUGAAUCAAAGGCGCUAAACGUAGGCUUCUAGCUUGUACUGUAUGUAAGUUGUGGGGAAACAAACGCGGAUAAAAGGUGAGGUGUAUUUUAAGGAUAGAGAGAAAAUGACUGACGCUGAGGAAGAUUUUAGAGUGCAGUGCUCCUCGAAAAGGUCGGUUUGCGAGGCAGUGCAGCAGUACGGGCUACUGCUGGGGAAGGUCUUGGACAGACAAUCCCAGAUCUCGGAAGAGCUGAGGAGUCGGGCGUUGCAGGAUUUACAGUGGAACUUCGAGACUGCCGUUCAGAAGAACGUGGUGAUCAAUGGCGAAUCUUGGGAUGACGCGCCCGAUGACCCAGUUAACGGUGAGAUCUUUCAAGAUAAAAAUACGACAAGUUACCUAUAUUUUUUCUUGGCCACACGUGAUCUAACAGGACAUCAGUACAGUAAUAUUUUUUUUUUCAGUUGUAUAUUAGCUACAGUUUCCUGACUUGCAGUCCAAGUCUGUCUGAACUGAGGUCACCCAGCUCCCCAAG
Molecule: long non-coding RNA, 544 nt
Filed under: Lepisosteus oculatus (spotted gar)
Lineage: Eukaryota; Metazoa; Chordata; Actinopteri; Semionotiformes; Lepisosteidae
Description: lncRNA (ENSLOCG00000022629.1)
Source: RNAcentral